Molecule: transfer RNA, 70 nt
Filed under: Ectomomyrmex javanus
Lineage: Eukaryota; Metazoa; Arthropoda; Insecta; Hymenoptera; Formicidae
Description: tRNA-Glu
Source: RNAcentral
UAUUUAUAUAGUUUAAUCUUAAAACUUUAUUUUUUCAUAAUAAAAAUAAUAUUUUUUUAUUUAUAAAUAU